GUGGGGAAUCUUGCGCAAUGGGCGAAAGCCUGACGCAGCCAUGCCGCGUGAAUGAUGAAGGUCUUAGGAUUGUAAAAUUCUUUCACCGGGGACGAUAAUGACGGUACCCGGAGAAGAAGCCCCGGCUAACUUCGUGCCAGCAGCCGCGGUAAUACGAAGGGGGCUAGCGUUGAUCGGAAUUACUGGGCGUAAAGGGCGCGUAGGCGGAUCGUUAAGUCAGGGGUGAAAUUCCAGAGCUCAACUCUGGAACUGCACUUGAUACUGGCGAUCUUGAGUGUGAGAGAGGUAUGUGGAACUCCGAGUGUAGAGGUGAAAUUCUGAGAUAUUCGGAAGAACACCAGUGGCGAAGGCGACAUACUGGCUCAUUACUGACGCUGAGGCGCGAAAGCGUGGGGAGCAAACAGGAUUAGAUACCCUAGUAGUCC
Molecule: ribosomal RNA, 425 nt
Filed under: uncultured bacterium
Lineage: Bacteria
Description: partial 16S ribosomal RNA
Rfam family: Bacterial small subunit ribosomal RNA
Source: RNAcentral